UGGGCUGGUCGAAAGACCCUGGUCCACCAACCGCGGGGAAUUUCCCC
This 47-nucleotide small RNA is filed under the name pig gut metagenome. Its description in RNAcentral is "DUF3800-XI RNA". It matches the Rfam family "DUF3800-XI RNA". From Rfam's summary of the family: Actinobacteria, Firmicutes, Proteobacteria, Spirochaetes (1 example). The record is from RNAcentral.